This 1438-nucleotide ribosomal RNA is filed under the name uncultured organism. Its description in RNAcentral is "partial small subunit ribosomal RNA". It matches the Rfam family "Bacterial small subunit ribosomal RNA". The record is from RNAcentral.
CUUGACGAACGCUGGCGGCGUGCUUAACACAUGCAAGUCGAACGGAAAGGCCCUGCUUUUGUGGGGUGCUCGAGUGGCGAACGGGUGAGUAACACGUGAGUAACCUGCCCUUGACUUUGGGAUAACUUCAGGAAACUGGGGCUAAUACCGGAUAGGAGCUCCUGCUGCAUGGUGGGGGUUGGAAAGUUUCGGCGGUUGGGGAUGGACUCGCGGCUUAUCAGCUUGUUGGUGGGGUAGUGGCUUACCAAGGCUUUGACGGGUAGCCGGCCUGAGAGGGUGACCGGCCACAUUGGGACUGAGAUACGGCCCAGACUCCUACGGGAGGCAGCAGUGGGGAAUAUUGCACAAUGGGCGGAAGCCUGAUGCAGCAACGCCGCGUGCGGGAUGACGGCCUUCGGGUUGUAAACCGCUUUCGCCUGUGACGAAGCGUGAGUGACGGUAAUGGGUAAAGAAGCACCGGCUAACUACGUGCCAGCAGCCGCGGUGAUACGUAGGGUGCGAGCGUUGUCCGGAUUUAUUGGGCGUAAAGGGCUCGUAGGUGGUUGAUCGCGUCGGAAGUGUAAUCUUGGGGCUUAACCCUGAGCGUGCUUUCGAUACGGGUUGACUUGAGGAAGGUAGGGGAGAAUGGAAUUCCUGGUGGAGCGGUGGAAUGCGCAGAUAUCAGGAGGAACACCAGUGGCGAAGGCGGUUCUCUGGGCCUUUCCUGACGCUGAGGAGCGAAAGCGUGGGGAGCGAACAGGCUUAGAUACCCUGGUAGUCCACGCUGUAAACGGUGGGUACUAGGUGUGGGGUCCAUUCCACGGGUUCCGUGCCGUAGCUAACGCUUUAAGUACCCCGCCUGGGGAGUACGGCCGCAAGGCUAAAACUCAAAGGAAUUGACGGGGCCCCGCACAAGCGGCGGAGCAUGCGGAUUAAUUCGAUGCAACGCGUAGAACCUUACCUGGGUUUGACAUGGAUCGGGAGUGCUCAGAGAUGGGUGUGCCUCUUUUGGGGUCGGUUCACAGGUGGUGCAUGGCUGUCGUCAGCUCGUGUCGUGAGAUGUUGGGUUAAGUCCCGCAACGAGCGCAACCCUUGUUCACUGUUGCCAGCACGUUAUGGUGGGGACUCAGUGGAGACCGCCGGGGUCAACUCGGAGGAAGGUGGGGAUGACGUCAAGUCAUCAUGCCCCUUAUGUCCAGGGCUUCACGCAUGCUACAAUGGCUGGUACAGAGAGUGGCGAGCCUGUGAGGGUGAGCGAAUCUCGGAAAGCCGGUCUCAGUUCGGAUUGGGGUCUGCAACUCGACCUCAUGAAGUCGGAGUCGCUAGUAAUCGCAGAUCAGCAACGCUGCGGUGAAUACGUUCCCGGGGCUUGUACACACCGCCCGUCAAGUCAUGAAAGUUGGUAACACCCGAAGCCGGUGGCCUAACCGUUGUGGGGGAGCCGUCGAAGGUGGGACUG